Molecule: long non-coding RNA, 1739 nt
Filed under: Capra hircus (goat)
Lineage: Eukaryota; Metazoa; Chordata; Mammalia; Artiodactyla; Bovidae
Description: lncRNA (ENSCHIG00010010496.1)
Source: RNAcentral
AUCAUUGGAGAUCUGCUUAUUUGUAAAUAGCCUNUUGCUCAUUUGGAAAAAUAAACCAGUGGACAAUAUUUUUCUAUUGUACUUUUCAAAACCAUUUUGUCUCAUUACUCCUGUUUUAGCUGAAGAAUUUUAUUACAUUUGGAGAGUAAAGAUCUUAAAUACUGAUUCAUAAAGUUUUUCAAGUUAUUUGAGGGGAAUAUUUAUGUGCACUGCAGUUGGAAAUGAAAUGAAACUUUCAAGUGCCUCUUUCCUCUUUUUUUUUUGCUGGAAUGAAUGCGUCAUCUUAUGUUUGUUCUUCUUAAAGAACUUGCUGAAUCUGUGUUUUAUAGAACAAAGGUCUUCAAACCAGAUCCAAGCCCCCCUCUGCCUUCUUGAUACAAGUGUAUCUUUCAGGGCCCCUUAGUGAACCUGCUAGGCCCCUUAGAAUCUGCAUUUUAACAAGUGUCCACUUGCUGGUACUGUGUGCCUGAAUGUGCUCAGGAUUUUAGGGUGGAUCUAGCUACAGAAUAAAUUGCCCACAGUUGCCAUAUAAUCUAAGAAUCAAACAAAGUAAGAUCUUUGACGCCAAAGCAGCAAGCUUUGUGAAUGUGAAUUACACUCCCAGGACAGGUAUUUACCAUGUAAUGACAGUGAAGAUCCAGGAUAAUGACAUUGUGCUCACAGUAGGAAUUGCUGUCCUUCAGCCUAAUUGCCAUUUACUUUGUGGGAGUAGUUAGUUUUUCCUUGGAAAAAAGCACAGACGUUUUUAUUCUUCAGUAAGGAAGAGCUAGUAUACAUCCUGAUGACAAAGUCAGUUAAGUUCUCUCCUGUUUAUCGUAAUAGGGAACCAUAGGACAGGGUAUGAGCAAUUGCUUUGUUGAGCCUCAGUGCCCAUCAGGUGUCCCAGUGAUCCUUUAACACUGGCCACUUCCUUCCCUAAUCUCAUUCUUGCCCGCAUGUGCUCCUCUUCCUGACAUCAGUGUUGAUGAUGGAAGUGCUGCCCUCUCUUCAUCAAGACUCUGGCUCUAGAGAUGCCGUUGGAGCCCUUCACUCCCCUGGCAUUGCCAUGCCUGAACUCAGUACUCCUGGCCUGUGGGCUCAUGCUCCAGUUGGACACUCCCUCUUCCUAAAACACCCCUCCAAAUCAGUAGCUCUGGUUCUCCCUGCCGUCCAGAAAGAAGACUCUGUAGGACCCACAGGGUGCCACCUCCAGCCGAACAGUCUCUUCGCUCAUGAGGACGUCAAGUCUCUCUCCGCCUGCUUUCCCUCCGCCUGGAGCGCUCUCCCUGCCUCGCCUCUGACUCAUCUUCCAGGAGACCCUGAAACUCCCCCGCGUCCACCCUGGUGUCAUUUCAGGCCCUCCCAGCGUGGUGACACAGGUGGAGAGUCUCCCUGGACCGCGGUCCUGGGUCUCUUCUAGGCGAUGACCGCGCACGCUGGGCCCGCGUCUGCAGAAGCCUGCAGUGCCCCACAGUGCCCGGCCCUCCAUCCGUGCUCUGGUCCUCACCUUGCAUGCCUCCCCACAGAUUAUGCCCCGUCCCGCCUGCCCACUGCACGGCUUCCCACACUCAUGACCUACAGAUGAGUCCUUCUUCCCUUAAACUUGGAACGCUUUCUAGUUAGAACUCUGUUUCACUUGUUACUUUAGACUUUCUCUUAGCUUGUGUAACUUUAUUUUUUUUUUUUUACUUUAUUUUGCUUUAUAAUACAGUAUUGGUUUUGUCAUACAUUGACAUGAAUCUGCCACGGGUGUACAUGAG